GAGACAGCAGCAGCCGCGGGAAUACGUAGGUGGCAAGCGUUGUCCGGAAUUAUUGGGCGUAAAGGGCUCGCAGGCGGUUUCUUAAGUCUGAUGUGAAAGCCCCCGGCUCAACCGGGGAGGGUCAUUGGAAACUGGGAAACUUGAGUGCAGAAGAGGAGAGUGGAAUUCCACGUGUAGCGGUGAAAUGCGUAGAGAUGUGGAGGAACACCAGUGGCGAAGGCGACUCUCUGGUCUGUAACUGACGCUGAGGAGCGAAAGCGUGGGGAGCGAACAGGAUUAGAUACCCCUGUAGUCCCUGUCUCUUAUAC
RNAcentral lists this ribosomal RNA (308 nucleotides) under uncultured bacterium. RNAcentral describes it as "partial 16S ribosomal RNA". It matches the Rfam family "Bacterial small subunit ribosomal RNA", at positions 505 to 807 of the family's 1533-position model. The record is from RNAcentral.